GUGCUUAAUACAUGCAAGUCGAGCGGACAGAUGGGAGCUUGCUCCCUGAAGUCAGCGGCGGACGGGUGAGUAACACGUGGGCAACCUGCCUGUAAGACUGGGAUAAUUCCGGGAAACCGGGGCUAAUACCGGAUAAUUCUUUCCCUCACAUGAGGGAAAGCUGAAAGAUGGUUUCGGCUAUCACUUACAGAUGGGCCCGCGGCGCAUAAGCUAGUUGGUGAGGUAACGGCUCACCAAGGCAACGAUGCGUAGCCGACCUGAGAGGGUGAUCGGCCACACUGGGACUGAGACACGGCCCAGACUCUUACGGGAGGCAGCAGUAGGGAAUCUUCCGCAAUGGACGAAAGUCUGACGGAGCAACGCCGCGUGAGUGAUGAAGGUUUUCGGAUCGUAAAACUCUGUUGUUAGGGAAGAACAAGUACCGGAGUAACUGCCGGUACCUUGACGGUACCUAACCAGAAAGCCACGGCUAACUACGUGCCAGCAGCCGCGGUAAUACGUAGGUGGCAAGCGUUGUCCGGAAUUAUUGGGCGUAAAGCGCGCGCAGGCGGUUCCUUAAGUCUGAUGUGAAAGCCCCCGGCUCAACCGGGGAGGGUCAUUGGAAACUGGGGAACUUGAGUGCAGAAGAGAAGAGUGGAAUUCCACGUGUAGCGGUGAAAUGCGUAGAGAUGUGGAGGAACACCAGUGGCGAAGGCGACUCUUUGGUCUGUAACUGACGCUGAGGCGCGAAAGCGUGGGGAGCAAACAGGAUUAGAUACCCUGGUAGUCCACGCCGUAAACGAUGAGUGCUAAGUGUUAGAGGGUUUCCGCCCUUUAGUGCUGCAGCAAA
Molecule: ribosomal RNA, 829 nt
Filed under: Bacillus sp. (in: firmicutes)
Lineage: Bacteria; Bacillati; Bacillota; Bacilli; Caryophanales; Bacillaceae
Description: bacterial SSU rRNA
Rfam family: Bacterial small subunit ribosomal RNA
Source: RNAcentral